RNAcentral lists this ribosomal RNA (415 nucleotides) under uncultured prokaryote. RNAcentral's name for it is "bacterial SSU rRNA". It matches the Rfam family "Bacterial small subunit ribosomal RNA", at positions 505 to 918 of the family's 1533-position model. The record is from RNAcentral.
GUGUCAGCAGCCGCGGUAAUACGUAGGGGGCAAGCGUUGUCCGGAUUUAUUGGGCGUAAAGAGCGUGUAGGCGGCCUGACAGGUCCGUUGUGAAAACUGGAGGCUCAACCUCCAGCUGUCGAUGGAAACCGUCAGGCUAGAGUCCGGAAGAGGAGGGUGGAAUUCCCGGUGUAGCGGUCAAAUGCGCAGAUAUCGGGAAGAACACCCGUGGCGAAGGCGGCUCUCUGGGACGGUACUGACGCGGAGACGCGAAAGCGUGGGGAGCGAACAGGAGUAGAUACCCUGGUAGUCCACGCCGUAAACGAUGGGUGCUAGGUGUGGGCGGUGUCGACUCCGUCCGUGCCGAAGCUAACGCAUUAAGCACCCCGCCUGGGGAGUACGGCCGCAAGGCUAAAACUUAAAGGAAUUGACGGGG